Molecule: ribosomal RNA, 510 nt
Filed under: uncultured bacterium
Lineage: Bacteria
Description: partial 16S ribosomal RNA
Rfam family: Bacterial small subunit ribosomal RNA
Source: RNAcentral
GACGAACGCUGGCGGCGUGCCUAAUACAUGCAAGUAGAGCGCUGAAGGGAGAGCUUGCUCUUCUGGAUGAGUUGCGAACGGGUGAGUAACGCGUAGGUAACCUGCCUGGUAGCGGGGGAUAACUAUUGGAAACGAUAGCUAAUACCGCAUAACAGCAAAUGUUGCAUGACAUUUGCUUAAAAGGUGCAAUUGCAUCACUACCAGAUGGACCUGCGUUGUAUUAGCUAGUUGGUGGGGUAACGGCUCACCAAGGCGACGAUACAUAGCCGACCUGAGAGGGUGAUCGGCCACACUAGGACUGAGACACGGCCCAGACUCCUACGGGAGGCAGCAGUAGGGAAUCUUCGGCAAUGGACGGAAGUCUGACCGAGCAACGCCGCGUGAGUGAAGAAGGUUUUCGGAUCGUAAAGCUCUGUUGUAAGAGAAGAACGAGUGUGAGAGUGGAAAGUUCACACUGUGACGGUAUCUUACCAGAAAGGGACGGCUAACUACGUGCCAGCAGCCGCGGAA